CAGCGCCGCGGGAACACGUAGGUGGCAAGCGUUGUCCGGAAUUAUUGGGCGUAAAGGGUGCGUAGGCGGUUUGAUAAGUCUUAUGUGAAAUCUAUGGGCUCAACCCAUAGUCUGCAUAGGAAACUGUCGGGCUUGAGAGUGGGAGAGGUUAGUGGAAUUUCCGGUGUAGCGGUGAAAUGCGUAGAUAUCGGAAGGAACACCUGUGGCGAAAGCGGCUCACUGGACCAUUUCUGACGCUGAUGCACGAAAGCUAGGGGAGCAAACAGGUUUAGAUACCCCCGUAGUCCCUGUCUCUUAUACA
This 301-nucleotide ribosomal RNA is filed under the name uncultured bacterium. RNAcentral's name for it is "partial 16S ribosomal RNA". It matches the Rfam family "Bacterial small subunit ribosomal RNA", at positions 509 to 808 of the family's 1533-position model. The record is from RNAcentral.